AUUACUUCCUACUUCGCGUCAGGCUUCCCAGAAGUGAUUGAGGUCUUUCUUAACGAAUAGUAUGCCUUCUUACAAAAACAUAGAUGUGUCAUUUACCCUGAUUGGUCUAACCAUGCCUUUCCAAGGAUAGUGCGUCAUGACAAGGACCCACGUGUAGUUUCAUGCGCAUGUUGAUUACGCAGAGGUGAGACACGGCGCUGGUAAAGUCAGCGGCUUUGACGAGCGAUAUCUUUGCUUCUGACUAUAAUAUUGCUAUUUUUGCAUCAUGGCAAGACCACGAAGCAUGACUUUGGAGGAGAUUCACGCCUUCCUUGAUGUGGAGUCGGACUUCAACUUCGAGGAGAUUGGUGAUAGUGGUUCAGAGUCUGGCAGCGUGGACUCCGAGGUAGAGGAUGCAUUCGCGGAUGGAUGUCCUCCUUGACUUUGCUGAACCAUCUGCCCCUCUGUCUCGCUCCCACACCUCCAGUGACCCUUUGGAAGGGACCUCAGCUACAGCCCCACCUGUCAGGCCUCCAGCGUCUCCCCCCAUCGCCACUCCUGGUACCUCUGCCACUGGUCCCUCAGCCAGCACUAGUGCACCUCAGCAUCGUGCAAGAGGCCCAGCCUCCUAAAAUCCAACCCCCCGUCCUCGUCGUAGGAGGUGGUAACAGCACAUUGCAGAUAUCAUAUUUGCAACUGUUCUGGCUAACGGGGCUCUGGUGUGGACUGUUUUCUAACACUUCUACAUUUCCCCUAAAAGACAUAAGCUUAGUUUCAAUACAGUAUUUGGCAUUUGGAGAGGUAAGGAUCCUCCUUAUUGGUUAACUUGAAAUAAGUGUAAAUAUUAGCCUGAAAUGAAGUGAAAUUUAUAUUUACAAGGUCAAAACACAAAAAUACCACACACACAACCUGCUAUAUGGGGAAAAUCUUGUUUUUGUAUUUUGGAGAGCUUGGAGAGGUUAUGGACACUUGGAAACGCCUAUAUGCACCUAUUAGAAAUUGCUGUGUAGAACCUAUGUAAUUUUAUGCAUCUGCUUAAAAUUUUGGAGUUUGCUUCCUAAGAACAUGUAGAUACAGGAAAUGUAGUGUAUGACCUGCUGUUCUAACACACCAUCCAUGGACACACUGACAACUACAAAAAUAAUAGGCGUUUUUUACUUUUUUGACAUUUUCCUCUGUAUAUGAUGUUCUAAAAUGUAGACUUAAUGAAGGAAAUAAAGGUCUGGAGGUGAAUUAA
Alosa alosa (allis shad) is the source of this 1216-nucleotide long non-coding RNA. RefSeq lists it as uncharacterized. Lineage: Eukaryota; Metazoa; Chordata; Actinopteri; Clupeiformes; Clupeidae. The record is from RefSeq and is a predicted model, not a curated record. The transcript has 2 exons.